UCGAACGGUGAAGCCCAGCUUGCUGGGUGGAUCAGUGGCGAACGGGUGAGUAACACGUGAGUAACCUGCCCCUGACUCUGGGAUAAGCCUUGGAAACGAGGUCUAAUACCGGAUACGUGACGCUCAGGCAUCUGAUGCGUCUGGAAAGAUUUAUCGGUCAGGGAUGGACUCGCGGCCUAUCAGCUUGUUGGUGGGGUAACGGCCUACCAAGGCGACGACGGGUAGCCGGCCUGAGAGGGCGACCGGCCACACUGGGACUGAGACACGGCCCAGACUCCUACGGGAGGCAGCAGUGGGGAAUAUUGCACAAUGGGCGCAAGCCUGAUGCAGCGACGCCGCGUGAGGGAUGAAGGCCUUCGGGUUGUAAACCUCUUUCAGCAGGGAAGAAGCGCAAGUGACGGUACCUGCAGAAGAAGCGCCGGCUAACUACGUGCCAGCAGCCGCGGUAAUACGUAGGGCGCAAGCGUUGUCCGGAAUUAUUGGGCGUAAAGAGCUCGUAGGCGGUUUGUCGCGUCUGCUGUGAAAACUCGAGGCUCAACCUCGGGCUUGCAGUGGGUACGGGCAGACUAGAGUGCGGUAGGGGAGACUGGAAUUCCUGGUGUAGCGGUGGAAUGCGCAGAUAUCAGGAGGAACACCGAUGGCGAAGGCAGGUCUCUGGGCCGCAACUGACGCUGAGGAGCGAAAGCAUGGGGAGCGAACAGGAUUAGAUACCCUGGUAGUCCAUGCCGUAAACGUUGGGCACUAGGUGUGGGGCUCAUUCCACGAGUUCCGUGCCGCAGCAAACGCAUUAAGUGCCCCGCCUGGGGAGUACGGCCGCAAGGCUAAAACUCAAAGAAAUUGACGGGGGCCCGCACAAGCGGCGGAGCAUGCGGAUUAAU
RNAcentral lists this ribosomal RNA (878 nucleotides) under Cellulomonas sp. RNAcentral describes it as "bacterial SSU rRNA". It matches the Rfam family "Bacterial small subunit ribosomal RNA", at positions 62 to 950 of the family's 1533-position model. The record is from RNAcentral. Lineage: Bacteria; Bacillati; Actinomycetota; Actinomycetes; Micrococcales; Cellulomonadaceae.